UCGAGAAUAAUUCACAAUGGGGGCAACCCUGAUGGUGCAACGCCGCGUGGAGGAUGACGGUCUUCGGAUUGUAAACUCCUGUCAUCCGGGAGUAAGACCUGGUCGUUAAUAGCGGACAGGGUUGAUAGUACCGGAAGAGGAAGGGACGGCUAACUUCGUGCCAGCAGCCGCGGUAAUACGAAGGUCCCGAGCGUUGUUCGGAAUCACUGGGCGUAAAGGGAGCGUAGGCGGCGUGGCAAGUCAGACGUGAAAUCCCGGGGCUCAACCCCGGAACUGCGUCCGAUACUGCCGCGCUCAGAGGAUUGGAGAGGUAGCUGGAAUUCUUGGUGUAGCAGUGAAAUGCGUGGAUAUCAAGAGGAACACUCGUGGCGAAAGCGAGCUACUGGACAACUCCUGACGCUGAGGCUCGAAGGCCAGGGUAGCGAAAGGG
RNAcentral lists this ribosomal RNA (430 nucleotides) under uncultured Luteolibacter sp. RNAcentral describes it as "bacterial SSU rRNA". It matches the Rfam family "Bacterial small subunit ribosomal RNA", at positions 355 to 776 of the family's 1533-position model. The record is from RNAcentral. Lineage: Bacteria; Pseudomonadati; Verrucomicrobiota; Verrucomicrobiia; Verrucomicrobiales; Verrucomicrobiaceae.